This 519-nucleotide ribosomal RNA is filed under the name Lodderomyces parapsilosis. RNAcentral describes it as "eukaryotic LSU rRNA". It matches the Rfam family "Eukaryotic large subunit ribosomal RNA", at positions 123 to 658 of the family's 3401-position model. The record is from RNAcentral. Lineage: Eukaryota; Fungi; Ascomycota; Pichiomycetes; Serinales; Debaryomycetaceae.
UGGCACUUUCAGUGUCCGAGUUGUAAUUUGAAGAAGGUAUCUUUGGGUCUGGCUCUUGUCUAUGUUUCUUGGAACAGAACGUCACAGAGGGUGAGAAUCCCGUGCGAUGAGAUGUCCCAGACCUAUGUAAAGUUCCUUCGAAGAGUCGAGUUGUUUGGGAAUGCAGCUCUAAGUGGGUGGUAAAUUCCAUCUAAAGCUAAAUAUUGGCGAGAGACCGAUAGCGAACAAGUACAGUGAUGGAAAGAUGAAAAGAACUUUGAAAAGAGAGUGAAAAAGUACGUGAAAUUGUUGAAAGGGAAGGGCUUGAGAUCAGACUUGGUAUUUUGUAUGUUACUCUCUCGGGGGUGGCCUGUACAGUUUACCGGGCCAGCAUCAGUUUGAGCGGUAGGAUAAGUGCAAAGAAAUGUGGCACUGCUUCGGUAGUGUGUUAUAGUCUUUGUCGAUACUGCCAGCUUAGACUGAGGACUGCGGCUUCGGCCUAGGAUGUUGGCAUAAUGAUCUUAAGUCGCCCGUCUUGAA